Long non-coding RNA from Bos taurus (domestic cattle), 614 nucleotides. NCBI's taxonomy places the organism in Eukaryota, Metazoa, Chordata, Mammalia, Artiodactyla, Bovidae. The record is from Ensembl.
CUCCCCGCCCCCUCGCCCAGUCUCCGCGCUCUGGCACACUCCCUGCCUUCUCCACCGCCCCCAGGAGCAGCCUCAGCCGCCGCGCGCUUCCCCCGCGCCCCCGCCCGCCGAUUGCUCGCUCGCACGCACGCCCGGUCUCUCGCUCGCUCUCCAUCCCUCGCCGGCGCUCCCUCGCUCCCUCCUCCCCGUGAUUGACAGGCAAGAUGUCGGUGUGGAGCGAGGCAGGAGCGAAUGCAGCAGCCGUCACCCCCGGAGCCCGGCGGCGGCAGCAGCAGCAGCGCGAGGACGAGACAGCAGCCAGCCGCAGUCGCCGCCGCAGCCGCGGGAGCAAUGCAGACAGCAUCUUGAGAACGCGCUAAAGCACCCCAAACGGUGGACAAUGCCGUGUCACUGCAACUGGGAGGGGGGCAAACCAGAUUUUUUUUGACAUAAAAGCCAGCCAGCCAAAAAUAUAUAAUUUUGUCCUUCACGGAGCCGGUGUGUAAAGAGUGAGCGCUAUUUUCCUUCUCCUCCUCCUCUCCCUCCCCCUCCUCCUUCUCCCCGCCCCCCCCCUCCCCGCAAGUGUACAGACAGCAUCACAUCACCUGGUUUGCUUCUGAGAAACAGCAUCUCUU